AGCACCAGCAACAGCAGCAGCAGCAGCAGCAGGUCUCAGCCCUCCGCACCACUCCGCUCCACAGUCCGGAGAAAGGUACUGCCUCCUCUGCCGCCACCACAAAGCCCUUUCCUCCUCCGAUAAGGGGGAAGCCAGCAGCUGCUAUUCCGGACAGUUAAGAUUAUAUAUGAUGUGUAUAUAUCGAAGGUUUGUCAGCUCUUCCAGGCCAUAAAACCCACUUAAACGACACCACGUGCUUACCACGCACCAUUCACAGGCCCUGCUUGGGGCAAUUGGCAUUUGUAACCUUGUAAACUUUAAAAUCCCCAAAAAAGAAAGACUUGAAUGCAAGCCCUCGCGUUAAGGUUUAUAGGCCCCAACAGAGCGCAGAGAAAGUGGACGCCGCAGUUGACCGGUUGAAAUAAGGGGAGAUCAUUUAGGAGGCUGUUAGUUUGAGAGAGCCGGGAAGCAGCAGGACACGAUCCACUGCGCCAACAAUGUUUCAUAAAGGGGGAAAAGCAAACAACGAGUUUAGGAGACCUUUUUUCCGAUCUGAUCAGCCGACAGGAUUACGCACACGCAGGUGCGCCCACCGGUGAGGAGUAGCAUGACAAACGCUCCGGGCAUCUGCAGGUCAGGUCAACUACACACACAGGAUGGACACCUUCAACUUCUGUGAUCUUACAUGCUCUCUCAUUAUUCACCGUUUCAGCCCACCACCACCACCAGCAGCAGCAGCA
Molecule: long non-coding RNA, 719 nt
Organism: Fundulus heteroclitus (mummichog)
Lineage: Eukaryota; Metazoa; Chordata; Actinopteri; Cyprinodontiformes; Fundulidae
Exons: 3
Source: RefSeq, a predicted model, not a curated record